This 751-nucleotide long non-coding RNA is filed under the name Homo sapiens (human). RNAcentral's name for it is "HSALNT0094309". Lineage: Eukaryota; Metazoa; Chordata; Mammalia; Primates; Hominidae. The record is from RNAcentral.
CUUCGGCUCGCGCGCGGUGCACGCACCCACUGACGUGUGUCCACUGUCUGGCACUCCCUAGUGAGAUGAACCCGGUACCUCAGAUGGAAUUGCAGAAAUCACCCGUCUUCUGCUUUGCUCCCGCUGGGAGCUGUAGACCGGAGCUGUUCCUAUUCAGCCAUCUUGGCUCCUCCUGACUUUGUUUUUUUAUAAUCUUGCUUACAUGUUUUCAUGACUCCUGGCAUGGGGAGUAGCUACAGAGAAAUCUAAGAAUGGCCCUGUCUGAGAGAUAUGUUACCCUAAACACCAAGACUCAAUAUAUAUGACUUAAGAAAAAAAAGAUCCUUAUGCACUAUCUGAAGGUGAUGCUUCCUGACUUUUGCAACAGAAAGAAUGCUGUCUUCCUGUGCCUGCGGAGAUGAUAAUCAAGCUGGCACACUGACAAUCAAUGUAAAUUCAUUAAACAAAACAGGAAGUAAACAGGUAGGACAUCUUUCUCCUCUGUGCUCCUUCCUUUUCCUCAUGAGAGAAGAAUGGACUAACCUCAUUGAUUGAGAUUGUCAUGACAAUGUGUCUCCUCCCCUUUCCUUUCUGAUUCUGGGUUGAACCCCAAGGAAACAUGAUGAACCAGGUUGCAUGACUGUGAAGGCAGGAUAAAAGAAAAGCAGAAGAACCACAUUAAUCAUGGCAGACAUUGAUGAAGAAGGACAAUGAGGGCACAUGCUGUAUGCCAGACUCGUCACUGAAAAUACUAGGCCUCUGUCUGAGUGGA